RNAcentral lists this ribosomal RNA (497 nucleotides) under uncultured bacterium. Its description in RNAcentral is "partial 16S ribosomal RNA". It matches the Rfam family "Bacterial small subunit ribosomal RNA", at positions 28 to 507 of the family's 1533-position model. The record is from RNAcentral.
GAUGAACGCUGGCGGCGUGCCUAAUACAUGCAAGUAGAACGCUGAAGAGAGGAGCUUGCUCUUCUUGGAUGAGCUGCGAACGGGUGAGUAACGCGUAGGUAACCUGCCUUGUAGCGGGGGAUAACUACUGGAAACGAUAGCUAAUACCGCAUAACAAUGGAUGACACAUGUUACUUUUUUGAAAGGGGCAAUUGCUCCAAUACAAGAUGGACCUGCGUUGUAUUAGGUAGUAGGUGAGGUAAUGGCUCACCUAGGCCACGGUACAUAGCCGACCUGAGAGGGGUAUCGGCCAAACUGGGACCUGGACACGGCCCAGGCUCCUUCGGGGGGCAGGAGGAGGGAAACUUCAGGAAUGGGGGCAACGCUUACCGGAGAACGCCGGGUGAAUGAAGGAGGUUUUCGGAUCGGAAAACUCUGUUGUAAGGCAAGAACGAAUGUUAGAGUUGAAUGUGCACACUGUGACGGUACCUUACCAGAAAGCCACGGCUAACUACGUG